This 450-nucleotide ribosomal RNA is filed under the name uncultured bacterium. RNAcentral's name for it is "partial 16S ribosomal RNA". It matches the Rfam family "Bacterial small subunit ribosomal RNA", at positions 354 to 796 of the family's 1533-position model. The record is from RNAcentral.
GUGGGGAAUAUUGGACAAUGGGCGAAAGCCUGAUCCAGCCAUGCCGCGUGUGUGAAGAAGGUCUUCGGAUUGUAAAGCACUUUAAGUUGGGAGGAAGGGCAGUAAGUUAAUACCUUGCUGUUUUGACGUUACCGACAGAAUAAGCACCGGCUAACUUCGUGCCAGCAGCCGCGGUAAUACGAAGGGUGCAAGCGUUAAUCGGAAUUACUGGGCGUAAAGCGCGCGUAGGUGGUUUUGUAAGUUGGAGGUGAAAUCCCCGGGCUCAACCUGGGAACUGCCUCCAGAACUGCAUGACUAGAGUACGGUAGAGGGUAGUGGAAUUUCCUGUGUAGCGGUGAAAUGCGUAGAUAUAGGAAGGAACACCAGUGGCGAAGGCGACUACCUGGACUGAUACUGACACUGAGGUGCGAAAGCGUGGGGAGCAAACAGGAUUAGAAACCCGUGUAGUCC